GAGACCCGUACCCACAGUUGCCAGCGGCUGCUCCGGCAGGCUGGGUACACUAUGGGGACCGCCUCUGCUAAAGAGGAGGAAGGAGCGGGCGACGGUAGGUCAGUAUGCCCCGAAUUCUCCGGGCUACACGCGGGCUACAAUGGAUGGGACAAUGGACUCCGACACCGAAAGGUGAAGGCAAUCUCUUAAACCCAUUCUUAGUUCGGAUUGAGGGCUGAAACUCGCCCUCAUGAAGCUGGAAUCCGUAGUAAUCGCGUUUCAACAUAGCGCGGUGAAUAC
Molecule: ribosomal RNA, 279 nt
Filed under: uncultured archaeon
Lineage: Archaea
Description: partial 16S rRNA
Rfam family: Archaeal small subunit ribosomal RNA
Source: RNAcentral